This 929-nucleotide ribosomal RNA is filed under the name Bacillus aerophilus. Its description in RNAcentral is "bacterial SSU rRNA". It matches the Rfam family "Bacterial small subunit ribosomal RNA", at positions 59 to 968 of the family's 1533-position model. The record is from RNAcentral. Lineage: Bacteria; Bacillati; Bacillota; Bacilli; Caryophanales; Bacillaceae.
AAGUCGAGCGGACAGAAGGGAGCUUGCUCCCGGAUGUUAGCGGCGGACGGGUGAGUAACACGUGGGUAACCUGCCUGUAAGACUGGGAUAACUCCGGGAAACCGGAGCUAAUACCGGAUAGUUCCUUGAACCGCAUGGUUCAAGGAUGAAAGACGGUUUCGGCUGUCACUUACAGAUGGACCCGCGGCGCAUUAGCUAGUUGGUGAGGUAACGGCUCACCAAGGCGACGAUGCGUAGCCGACCUGAGAGGGUGAUCGGCCACACUGGGACUGAGACACGGCCCAGACUCCUACGGGAGGCAGCAGUAGGGAAUCUUCCGCAAUGGACGAAAGUCUGACGGAGCAACGCCGCGUGAGUGAUGAAGGUUUUCGGAUCGUAAAGCUCUGUUGUUAGGGAAGAACAAGUGCAAGAGUAACUGCUUGCACCUUGACGGUACCUAACCAGAAAGCCACGGCUAACUACGUGCCAGCAGCCGCGGUAAUACGUAGGUGGCAAGCGUUGUCCGGAAUUAUUGGGCGUAAAGGGCUCGCAGGCGGUUUCUUAAGUCUGAUGUGAAAGCCCCCGGCUCAACCGGGGAGGGUCAUUGGAAACUGGGAAACUUGAGUGCAGAAGAGGAGAGUGGAAUUCCACGUGUAGCGGUGAAAUGCGUAGAGAUGUGGAGGAACACCAGUGGCGAAGGCGACUCUCUGGUCUGUAACUGACGCUGAGGAGCGAAAGCGUGNGGAGCGAACAGGAUUAGAUACCCUGGUAGUCCACGCCGUAAACGAUGAGUGCUAAGUGUUAGGGGGUUUCCGCCCCUUAGUGCUGCAGCUAACGCAUUAAGCACUCCGCCUGGGGAGUACGGUCGCAAGACUGAAACUCAAAGGAAUUGACGGGGGGNCCGCACAAGCGGUGGAGCAUGUGGNUUAAUUUCGAAGCAACGCGAAGAA